RNAcentral lists this transfer RNA (84 nucleotides) under Planctomycetaceae bacterium. RNAcentral describes it as "tRNA-Leu". It matches the Rfam family "tRNA". From Rfam's summary of the family: Transfer RNA (tRNA) molecules are approximately 80 nucleotides in length. Lineage: Bacteria; Pseudomonadati; Planctomycetota; Planctomycetia; Planctomycetales; Planctomycetaceae. The record is from RNAcentral.
GCCGAAGUGGCGGAAUGGCAGACGCGCCGGAUUCAAAAUCCGGUGAGGGUAAUCCUCAUGUGGGUUCGAGUCCCACCUUCGGUA